CGCCCCUUCAGAGCACGCGCGCACCCACGCGGACCUGUCCGGUGCGUCACCGCGGGCGGCUGGCCCCGCCCCCAGCUGCCGGGAAGCGCCGGGAGGCGGGCUUGGAAAGGCGCGUUUCGGCUGGCGGCUUGGAGGAGUGGCCUGGGGACUCAAGCCCCGGGUCCGGUUACCUCCGGGUUGUGACCUAGCUGCCGAACCCCUGCUGGAGUGCGGGAACCCCUCCCACGGAAACUGCGAUGCAGCCACGCACCCGCGAGCAUCCCGAGUGGGCGGACGGAAAACCCGAUGUUCGCCCUGCCCCCGCGCGCAGCCGGGAACGCUUGGUCCCUCCCAUUCCUCAACGGUUUGGCCUCCCGCGCUGCCACGCCUGGCCGCGCCCAUCCCCCCACCGCCUCCCGGGCACGCGGAACCCUACGCGGUUUCCAGGGCGACAGUAACUUCGCACUGCAGCAGAGGGCAGUCGGUGACCGUGGAGAGAGGAGGCACCGCUAGUGGGGACCCCUCCCCAGCAUUCACGGGAUGGAAAUAGUUAAAAGCUCAGAGGCCCCGCACUGUCACUCCGCAGCCUCAGUGCCCCACCCCACCCGAUGAUAAUCCUGAGCACUGCCAGGUGAACGCAGACACUCGGGUCCCUCUCAAUUCAUUCCCCCCACCCACCCAAGACCCUCAGUAACCCCUCUUGGCCCGAGUCCGGGUCUCGCCCGGGUACUGCGGAUAGCAAAGUGCUGGACUCGCUUCAUCCCCGCGCCACCUGCGGGCUGAGCGAACAGAGUGCGUGGGGGAAGGGAAGGCCAGAGUGCAGCGCCGCCGCCCUCUCGCGCAGGCGCCCUCCCGCCCGCCCCCUCCCGGGGUGGGAGCCCCACUGACGUCAGCUAGGCCAUGUGCUUAGCGCCCGCGUGGAGAAGGGCGGGGGAACCUGCCGGUAGCAAGAGGAAGCUGGCGCUGUGGCUGUCCAGGCACCGCCCAGCCCUUCCUCCCUUCCCCAUACCUGAAUGUACCGCAGCGCAGUCCGCAGCACGCUCAGAUUCGAAGUCUUCUUGUCGUCCACGUUGGGGAUGUUGCGCUUCAGGGUCUCAAAACAUUCCUUCAGAUGGGCCCUCCUGGGGAGAGGGGGUGAACACUGGUUAGCCAUCGCCUGAGUACACAGGAGCUGGAGGCAGGGACAAACCCAAUGAAGCUUUGGGGAACCAGGAGGGACGGGCCCAGAGUCACACUUGUAAGUGCGCGUGCACACACCUGUUCUUCUCCAAUUUGUUGUGGACUUCUCUGGUUCCGAUCCUGAAACCCAGACAGAUAGGAGGCUCAGGGAGGAAGACCCAAAUUAGGCCUUCCGGACCCACAUCACCCAUACCACCAACUGACCAGGUGUCCCUAACAUUUUCUAUAAAUUAAUACUUCUGGCCCUGUGUUGAGCCCAUCCAACCCUUGGAGGGUACCUCUAAUGCUCCUAACUCAUUGCCUCUGGAACCCUCUAUCCCACUGGUCCAACACAAGACACAAGGGAUUGGGUACGGGUUCUAGAAUCUUUAUGCAGAGGUCUGGAAAUGCCUGCCAUAAUCUCCAGUGUUGCUGAGGUCCAACAACACGAAAAGCUAAGAACGACAAUCGGCAGGACAGUCGUUUACUAUGAGAGGUUACUGGGCAAACACAUCACAACACUUCAUGAGGAAAGGGGCCCUGGACUCCUGCUCCCAGGCUACGUCCAAGGCCUCAAAUCUCCCCAGAGAGCAAUGAACACAGUUGUCUCUUCUUCCAAACUGUUACAACCCA
This is a long non-coding RNA of Mastomys coucha (southern multimammate mouse), 1770 nucleotides long. RefSeq lists it as uncharacterized. Lineage: Eukaryota; Metazoa; Chordata; Mammalia; Rodentia; Muridae. The record is from RefSeq and is a predicted model, not a curated record. The transcript is spliced from 2 exons.